Long non-coding RNA from Rhododendron vialii, 389 nucleotides. RefSeq lists it as uncharacterized. Lineage: Eukaryota; Viridiplantae; Streptophyta; Magnoliopsida; Ericales; Ericaceae. The transcript has 2 exons. The record is from RefSeq and is a predicted model, not a curated record.
GACGACAACAACAACAACAACAACCGAAAUCAAUAUAAGAAGCAGAAACCACAACAGAAAUCAACCUUCUUGCCGAGAACCGGAAGUAUCUUCUCGCUGGACUAAUCUUUCAGCUUUGUUUAGAUGGGGUGUGGCAUUGCAGCAAAGAUCACGACAACGACCAAGAAAUAGUAAAGAGAAGGUGAAGUUACUGCAGCAAUCAAAGAGGCUAUUUGGGUUAAAAAAAGAGAGCAAAGAGACUGUUUAAAGAUGCAGCAACCAAAGAGGACUGCCUGUUGUUUUGGGAUUUUUUUUUUUUUUGUAAUCUGGAUAGAUAGAGCUGUCUGAAUUGGAUGUGGAUGGAGCUAGUUUUUUGUUGGGGCUUAUAAUAGAGCUAUGUCUUUUGUUGG